AUGGGCAUUAACCCAGGAUCCCAGAAGGAAGGUGGAGUUAGGAUGGUUGUGAGAACAAUCAUGAAGGAGGAGCUGGAGGCCUCACAGACAAAAUCUUCCCUAUGGGACUUGUUCCGUACACCCAACCUGCGUAAGCGGAUAUGCCUCCUGUCCCUAGUGAGAUUUGUGGUGUGGACAUCUCUGUAUGGCCUGCUGAUCAACUUCCAGCACCUGAGGACUAAUGUCUUCCUAUUGCAGUGUCUUUUUGGUACAAUCACCAUUCCAGCCAAUUUAGUUGGAAUUUUUUUUUUUUUUUUUUUUUUUGGUGAAUCACUUGGGCCGCAGAAUAUGUCAACUAUGCCUGAUUGGAAUUUCCAUUUUGGCCAUAAUUUUUGUGCCUCAAGAGGAAGAGUCUCCAGACAAGCAAAGCAUAAAGAUACUUUCAUCAAAGUGACACAGUUUUAAGGAACUCCAAGAACUGAAAUCUGAUAAGCAGCAAGAUAAGAAAACUAUCACUGAGAUUUAAGAUGGUCCAGGUUCACUCUAGAUAUAGCAAAAUUCUUAAUCAAAUAACAUAGCAAAAAGUUUGUAUUAAAUUUAAAAUUUCCAUACUCAACUGAUACACAAAUUAUCUCAAUAACAAAAUUAAAGGAAAACAUAACACAGUGAAGUAAAUCUUCAGGGAUAUUUUUAUGAUAACAGACAGCUAUGACGUUUCUAGAUAGGAUGUGGAUGAAUCUUCUUCCAAUUAUUGUGACAUAAUGCUAGGGAAAAUUAAAGAUGAAUAAUUUACUGUGGAAUUCUCAUUAGUUUCAUCCCAUGGUUGUUGGGAUAAUUUCUUGUUCACUGUGUAAAGAUUGCCUUCAUAUUAUUCAAAUGCUGAUUUCAGUACUAGCAGAGAUUUGAGUACAGCUGGACUUUGGUAUUUUUUGAAGCAUCUCUCGUUUCAGUAUUCUGUAAACAUUUUCUCUAUUACCUCCUGAUCGGUUUAAUAAAGAGGUGAAUGGCUUGUGCCAGGGCAGGAGAGAAAAAGUGAGACAUUGAUUUGGUAAGACAUAGGAACUCUGGGAAAGAGUUGAUCAUGAAAUUGAUCAGCGAUUAAUAGGAAAUGUUCUUGAAGCCUCAGAAUUUUGUGAAGAAACACCAUGUUAACAGCAAAGGUUUGAAGAAAGAUUUUUCUAUUACUUGGCAGCAAGCCCAGAAAAUUGUAAGGAAGUGUUUUGUUCUUUGUAUAACCUAACUCCAUUACCUGCAGUAAGUAACCCAAAAGAUACCCAAAGAAAGGAAAUUUUACAAAUGGGUGUGUUUUAUUUUGCAGAGUUUGGAAAAAUUAAAAUAUGUGAACUAUUCCAUAGAUACAUAUUCAGGAUUUAAAAGGGCAACUGCUUUUCUGAAAAGGCUGAUUUUGUAAUUACACAUUUAUUAUAAGUUAUGGCUAUUAUGGGAAUACCAUUACAAAUUAAGACUGAAACUGCUCCAGCAUAUUUCUCUAGUAGAAUGAAAGAUUUCUUGCAUAUUAGAACAUAAAGCUUAUUAUAUGCAUUCCACAUAAUCCUACAGGACAAGCAAUUAUAGAAAGAUCAAAUCAGAGGCUGCCGGGAGUUGGUACUCCUGGCCGGAAGCAAAGGCACUGCAGGAGUGAUCCUGGGGCCUGCCUUCUGUGCUUGCAGCCUGGCGUGCAUGCCUGCUAGUGCGCUGCCUAGCCUGGGAUGUGCUGGGGAUGCGUGCCCGCCAGAUCUGCGGCUCCUGGCAGCUGGGUGUGGGGCUAUGGAACUGGGCAUGAAGAAGUUCACGGUGUGCAGGUACUUCUCUGUGUACCUGUGCAAGAAGUUGCGCUCCAAGAAGAGCUCCAGUCCCAGUCUCCUCGAGAGUCCUGCACCUGCUGGAGGACAUCUGUCCAGAGCCCUAGAGUGGCCUGUCUAGACGCUUCAGACAAAUGGAAUCCUAAAACUAGUGAUGCUCUGUGACUGGCUUCUUUCACUGGGGCUUAAUGUUUCCAAACCCCAUCCACACCAGCAUUUCUUUGUCCUGCAUCCUAUGGCCACACCAUAAAUUUAUUU
Molecule: long non-coding RNA, 2039 nt
Filed under: Mus musculus (house mouse)
Lineage: Eukaryota; Metazoa; Chordata; Mammalia; Rodentia; Muridae
Description: predicted gene, 58356
Source: RNAcentral